RNAcentral lists this unclassified non-coding RNA (1496 nucleotides) under Hevea brasiliensis (rubber tree). Lineage: Eukaryota; Viridiplantae; Streptophyta; Magnoliopsida; Malpighiales; Euphorbiaceae. The record is from RNAcentral.
CAGCCCCUACAGCACAACAGUUCUCCUAUCAACUCCUAAAGAAAGCAAGCUGAGUGUCAAGGCUGAUCUUAUUUUUGAAGAAUACAUUGGUCUUGAUUUCCACGAAAAACUCAUACUGUUGAAGGACAACAAUUCAGGAAUGAAUUACAAAUGUGGGCAGAAGCAGCCUUCCCUUUUUCCUCCACCUGUGGAAAUUUGCUUGAUAGAAGAUGACAAUGAAACCAUAUCUUAUGCUUCAGCUGAAAGGCUUUGCAAUUUGAAAAAAUCAAAAACAGAAGACAGCUCAAUGCCCACUUUCAAACUCAUAGAUGAAGAAUUGGAAGAAGGUAAGCAUCCCGUUGAAAUAAAAAAGGACAAUCAGAAAGUCAUAACUAAACAAGCAAUAUUCGACCACAUACGUGAAAAGGCCAAGAACUUCCCCAUCUUGACUCCUGCAAAAUCUUCCUCUUCUCCAUUGUCAGAGGCGUUGCUUUUCACAAGAAAGCAUCCCUAUAAGAAGGACAUUGAUCUUGAUACCGAACUGAUUGUUAUAGAAGAGAUAGAGGGAAGCAAAAUUCCACAACAGAUUGUCACAAAUCCGAGUUCUGAAAUCAGAGAAAUGGAACAGAAUGGGUAUAAUAUCAACAACCAUCUCGCUCCAAAGCAGGGCACUCCGUCUAGAAGUUCGGGUACUAUGAACUUCUUGGAUUACAAAGGUGGUCGUCCUUCUGAAUCUGAGAAAAGCAUUCUGAAGAGUCUAACUGAAGAAACAAUAUUUGGUCACAUACGGGAAAGAGCCAAUAAUUUUCCAGUGUUAUCAAGGACUAUGCAAUCUGAGUCUCCAAUGUGGACCAAGGAACAGUCUACUGAGAAUCAGCCUGAGUUUUGCAUUGCUGCGUCUGAUGCAUUAAGUGAAAUGUUUUAUGAUGAUAAGAUCAUGAGGGAAACUGUAAUCAUUUCAGAUUUGGAACCUGGAGGGACAGUGAUGAAUGAUUGUGAUUCCAGUGCAGGGGCAAAGGUGAAAGAAAACAAAUUUCCUCGAAGUCCAUGCCUAACAUAUGAGAGUUUGAGUAUCUCUCCCAGAAUUUCAAGAAUCAACAAUGAUCCAUCUUGUAUGGAAAUUUUACCUUUCGACAUUUCCAUGAUAAAGGAUAACACUAGAUCACUAGACUCAGCAAGCUCCAUGGAGUAUAAAAGGAAGCAGCUGAAGCAUUGUUCUCCUAAUGGAUCAAAAAGGCAGUGCUGGUCAAUGGCAAUGGCAGGCAAAACAAAGGAAGUAGAUUCAUUUCAUGGAUUUGAAAGUGUUUUUUCAUUUCUCUGAUUUCUCUCUCUCGGCAAUGAGUAGUUGGAGAACAGUGUCAUGGUCUAAAAUUUGAUUCUUCUGUUUUAGUUUCGUACUCCAGGUUAUUGUAGUUUGUGCUUAUACGCGGUAAAUAUCCUGUAAAUGAUACGGCGAAGUGGAAUCUUGGCAUGAUGCGAGUCUUAUAUACGCUAAGAAUAUCAGGAAACUCUAAAAA